GGGUGUGUAAGCCCGGAGUAAAUAGUGAGGAAACCAGGUGUAAAUUGUGAGUAAACACAAAGUAAACAUGAGAGUAAAACCUGGAGCAUAUUGUUAGGAACCCCGGAGUAAAUUGUGAUUUAAUUCCUGAGUAAAGUGAGAGUAAACCCAGAGAAAAGUAUGAAUGAACCUGGAUUGAAAUGUGUGUAAACCCGGAGUAAAGGGUUAGUAAAGCUAGAGUAAAGUGUGAGUAAUACCCUGAGUAAGGUGUGACUAAACCCAAAGUAAAGCGUGAGUAAACCAAGAGUAAAGUGUGCGUAACCAUGAAGUAAAGAGUGAGUAAACCUGGAGUAAAGAGUGAACAAAGCUUGGAGUAAACUGUGAGGAAACAUGGAGUAAAAUAUGUGUAAACCCUGGCGUAGAAUGUGAGCAAAACCUGAUGUAAACUGUGAGUAAAGCUAGAGAAAAGUGUGAGUAAACCCAAAGUAAAGGGUGUGUAAGCCCGGAGUAAAUAGUGCGGAAACCUGGUGUAAAUUGUGAGUAAACCCAAAGUAAACAUAUGAGUUAAACCUGGCAUACAUUGCUAGGAAACCCGGUGUAAAGUGUGAGUAAAGUGAGAGUAAAGUGAGAGUAAACCUAGAGAAAAGUGUGAGUACACCAGGAUUAUAGUGUGAGUAAGCCCGGAAUAAAGGGUUAGUAAAGCUAGAGUAAAGUGUGAGUAAUACCCUGAGUAAGGUGUGACUAAACCCAAAGUAAAGCGUGAGUAACUAUGGAGUAAAGAGUGCGUAACCAUGAAGUAAAGAGUGAGUAAAGGUGGAGUAGAGAGUGACCAAAGCUUGGAGAAAACAUGGAGUAAAAUAUGUGUAAACCGUGGUGUAGAAUGUGAGUAAAACCUGAUGUAAAGUGUGAGUAAAGCUUGAGAAAUGUGUGAGAAAACCCAAAGUAAAGGGUGUGUAAGCCCGGAGUAAAUAGCGAGUAAAGCUGGAGAAAAUUGUGAGUAAACCCAAAGUAAACUUAAGGGUAAAACCUAAAGUAUAUUGUUAGGAAACCCGGAGUAAAGGGUGAGUAAAGCCCUGAGUAAAGUGAGAGUAAACCCAGAGAAAAGUGUGAGUAAACCUUUGCUACUGCAAAGCCCGUGGGCCCUCGGUGUGCAGGGACACUGCUCUCCCCCCAUCCGCCCAGCCUGUGAUGCCAUCAUAGAAGGCUACCAG
RNAcentral lists this long non-coding RNA (1190 nucleotides) under Gallus gallus (chicken). Its description in RNAcentral is "lncRNA (ENSGALG00010002327.1)". Lineage: Eukaryota; Metazoa; Chordata; Aves; Galliformes; Phasianidae. The record is from RNAcentral.